This 405-nucleotide ribosomal RNA is filed under the name uncultured bacterium. RNAcentral describes it as "bacterial SSU rRNA". It matches the Rfam family "Bacterial small subunit ribosomal RNA", at positions 356 to 773 of the family's 1533-position model. The record is from RNAcentral.
GGGGAAUAUUGGACAAUGGGCGAAAGCCUGAUCCAGCAACGCCGCGUGAGGGAUGACGGCCUUCGGGUUGUAAACCUCUUUCAGCAGGGACGAAGCGAAAGUGACGGUACCUGCAGAAGAAGGACCGGCCAACUACGUGCCAGCAGCCGCGGUAAUACGUAGGGUCCGAGCGUUGUCCGGAAUUAUUGGGCGUAAAGGGCUCGUAGGCGGUUUGUCGCGUCGGGAGUGAAAAUCCAGGGCUCAACCCUGGACGUGCUUUCGAUACGGGCAGACUAGAGGUAUUCAGGGGAGAACGGAAUUCCUGGUGUAGCGGUGGAAUGCGCAGAUAUCAGGAGGAACACCGGUGGCGAAGGCGGGUCUCUGGGAAUUACCUGACGCUGAGGAGCGAAAGCAUGGGGAGCGAAC